This 254-nucleotide ribosomal RNA is filed under the name uncultured bacterium. RNAcentral describes it as "partial 16S ribosomal RNA". It matches the Rfam family "Bacterial small subunit ribosomal RNA", at positions 524 to 776 of the family's 1533-position model. The record is from RNAcentral.
UACGUAGGGUGCGAGCGUUGUCCGGAAUUAUUGGGCGUAAAGAGCUCGUAGGCGGUCUGUCGCGUCGGUCGUGAAAACUUGGGGCUUAACCCUGAGCUUGCGGUCGAUACGGGCAUGACUGGAGUUCGGCAGGGGAGACUGGAAUUCCUGGUGUAGCGGUGAAAUGCGCAGAUAUCAGGAGGAACACCGGUGGCGAAGGCGGGUCUCUGGGCCGAUACUGACGCUGAGGAGCGAAAGCGUGGGUAGCAAACAGG